This 851-nucleotide long non-coding RNA is filed under the name Equus caballus (horse). RNAcentral's name for it is "lncRNA (ENSECAG00000056390.1)". Lineage: Eukaryota; Metazoa; Chordata; Mammalia; Perissodactyla; Equidae. The record is from RNAcentral.
CCCAGGGAACAAGACAUUGGCAGCAGCCAUUAUUGUGACCUAGUACAGGCAUGCUGACACAGAUGCCAGCAGACGCCAUUGGAGUUCUUCCUCUGGCCUGUUAGCCCAGGGGUUGGCACCACAUACUAAAGCACUGAUUUAAUCCAGUUCAGCCGUGGCAGGCAGUUGGCCCUUGGCACUGGCUGGCCCCACUCAACAGCAAGCCCUCAGGCAAUUCAUGGGCCCACAUAAGCAGGGUGCCUGAAAACUCUGGCUGCCAGAGAAAGUGUCUCCUAGUGUCAGUUGAUGACCAUCAUCUUCUUGGGCAGAACUUGGAGGUUGACCACCUCAAGGACCACCGCUCAGGCCAUACACGGACUCACCUUGGCUCAGACGUCUCUACUUCCUGCAGCCUCCCAUCACAGUUAACAAGGCAAGAGAUUCUACACGGUGGCAGAAGCCUGAUGAGCUUCUCCUUUACUUCCUAAUAAAAUAUCCUUGAAGACAUACAAACAUGUGAAAUCUGGCUUUGGGACCAAACGAUAAGAAAAGAUUUUGGAAAAUCCUGAUGGAAUCCCCGCUAAAUGCACCAUCAGUCCAGAUGGAUUGAGAAGUACAUUAUUGAACCACCCUAUCACCUACUCUACCCUCUGAAACAGAAGAAAAGGCCACCCCACCCCCAGCACAUCAGUACUGAAAACAAAAUGAGAAGACCAAAAGAAAGAAAAAAAACAGAAUCAUGAAAGAAGAUAGUACAGGUGGAGGGUGGAGGACAGAGGCCAGCUAAGAAUUAUAAAUGUUCCAAUGAAAGAAAAAAUAAUGGACAGAAAUGAUCAUCAAAUAGAGGAAAACAUCUCAGUUGGAAAAAUACG